Molecule: ribosomal RNA, 236 nt
Filed under: uncultured bacterium
Lineage: Bacteria
Description: partial 16S ribosomal RNA
Rfam family: Bacterial small subunit ribosomal RNA
Source: RNAcentral
CAACGUAGGUAAUCUACCUUCGGGUGGGGAAUAACCCAGGGAAACUUGGGCUAACACCGCAUAAUGCAGCGGCACCACAUGGUGACAGUUGUUAAAGCGGGGGAUCUUAGGACCUCGCGCCUGAAGAGGAGCCUGCGGCGGAUUAGCUAGUUGGUGAGGUAACGGCUCACCAAGGUAACGAUCCGUAGCCGGCCUGAGAGGGCGGUCGGCCACACUGACACUGACAUACGGGUCAG